RNAcentral lists this ribosomal RNA (782 nucleotides) under uncultured bacterium. RNAcentral describes it as "bacterial SSU rRNA". It matches the Rfam family "Bacterial small subunit ribosomal RNA", at positions 28 to 819 of the family's 1533-position model. The record is from RNAcentral.
AGUGAACGCUGGCGGCGUGCCUAACACAUGCNAGUCGAACGAGAACGGAUUUUAGUUUACUAAAAUUGUCAGCUAAGUGGCGCACGGGUGAGUAAUAUAUAGUUAAUCUGCCUCAAAGAAGGGAAUAAUUGUUGGAAACGACUUGUAACUCCCUAUAUGCCUUUAUCACAUAAGUGAGCAAGGGAAACAUUUAUGGCUUUGAGAUGAGACUGUACAGUAUCAGCUAGUUGGUGAGGUAAUGGCUCACCAAGGCAAUGACGCUUAACUGGUUUGAGAGGAUGAUCAGUCACACUGGAACUGAGACACGGUCCAGACUCCUACGGGAGGCAGCAGUGGGGAAUAUUGCACAAUGGAGGAAACUCUGAUGCAGCAACGCCGCGUGGAGGAUGACACAUUUCGGUGCGUAAACUCCUUUUAUAUAAGAAGAUAAUGACGGUAUUAUAUGAAUAAGCACCGGCUAACUCCGUGCCAGCAGCCGCGGUAAUACGGGGGGUGCAAGCGUUACUCGGAAUCACUGGGCGUAAAGAGCGCAUGUAGGCUGGUUUGUAAGUUGGAAGUGAAAUCCUAUGGCUUAACCAUAGAACUGCUUCCAAAACUACUUACCUNGAGUAUGGGAGAGGUAGAUGGAAUUUCUGGUGUAGGGGNAAAAUCCGUAGAGAUCAGAAGGAAUACCGAUUGCGAAGGCGAUCUACUGGAACAUUACUGACGCUCAGAUGCGAAAGCGUGGGGAGCAAACAGGAUUAGAUNCCCUGGUAGUCCACGCCCUAAACGAUGCACACUAG